This 1470-nucleotide ribosomal RNA is filed under the name metagenome. RNAcentral's name for it is "bacterial SSU rRNA". It matches the Rfam family "Bacterial small subunit ribosomal RNA". The record is from RNAcentral.
AGAGUUUGAUCCUGGCUCAGGACGAACGCUGGCGGCACGCUUAACACAUGCAAGUCGAACGAGAGAAGAGGAGCUUGCUUUUCUGAUCUAGUGGCGGACGGGUGAGUAACACGUGAGCAAUCUGCCUUUCAGAGGGGGAUACCGAUUGGAAACGAUCGUUAAUACCGCAUAACAUAAUUGAACCGCAUGAUUUGAUUAUCAAAGAUUUAUCGCUGAAAGAUGAGCUCGCGUCUGAUUAGCUAGUUGGUAAGGUAACGGCUUACCAAGGCGACGAUCAGUAGCCGGACUGAGAGGUUGAUCGGCCACAUUGGGACUGAGACACGGCCCAGACUCCUACGGGAGGCAGCAGUGGGGAAUAUUGCACAAUGGAGGAAACUCUGAUGCAGCGAUGCCGCGUGAGGGAAGAAGGUUUUAGGAUUGUAAACCUCUGUCUUCAGGGACGAAAAAAGACGGUACCUGAGGAGGAAGCUCCGGCUAACUACGUGCCAGCAGCCGCGGUAAUACGUAGGGAGCGAGCGUUGUCCGGAAUUACUGGGUGUAAAGGGAGCGUAGGCGGGAUCGCAAGUCAGAUGUGAAAACUAUGGGCUUAACCCAUAAACUGCAUUUGAAACUGUGGUUCUUGAGUGAAGUAGAGGUAAGCGGAAUUCCUAGUGUAGCGGUGAAAUGCGUAGAUAUUAGGAGGAACAUCAGUGGCGAAGGCGGCUUACUGGGCUUUAACUGACGCUGAGGCUCGAAAGCGUGGGGAGCAAACAGGAUUAGAUACCCUGGUAGUCCACGCCGUAAACGAUGAUUACUAGGUGUGGGGGGACUGACCCCUUCCGUGCCGCAGCAAACGCAAUAAGUAAUCCACCUGGGGAGUACGACCGCAAGGUUGAAACUCAAAGGAAUUGACGGGGGCCCGCACAAGCAGUGGAGUAUGUGGAUUAAUUCGAAGCAACGCGAAGAACCUUACCAGGUCUUGACAUCGUAUGCAUAGCUCAGAGAUGAGUGAAAUCUCUUCGGAGACAUAUAGACAGGUGGUGCAUGGUUGUCGUCAGCUCGUGUCGUGAGAUGUUGGGUUAAGUCCCGCAACGAGCGCAACCCUUACUGUUAGUUGCUACGCAAGAGCACUCUAGCAGGACUGCCGUUGACAAAACGGAGGAAGGUGGGGAUGACGUCAAAUCAUCAUGCCCCUUAUGACCUGGGCCUCACACGUACUACAAUGGCUGUCAACAGAGGGAAGCAAAGCCGCGAGGUGGAGCGAACCCCUAAAAGCAGUCUUAGUUCGGAUUGUAGGCUGCAACCCGCCUACAUGAAGUCGGAAUUGCUAGUAAUCGCAGAUCAGCAUGCUGCGGUGAAUACGUUCCCGGGCCUUGUACACACCGCCCGUCACUCCAUGGGAGUCGGUAACACCCGAAGCCUGUAGUCUAACCGCAAGGAGGACGCAGUCGAAGGUGGGAUUGAUGACUGGGGUGAAGUCGUAACAAGGUA